ACACAAUCCAAGGGGUGCUGGCGCAAGCCGGCUGAGAUAAGACGUAUCGCCGUCUGAUCCCUCGAACCUGAUCCGGGUAAUGCCGGCGUAGGAAUGCGAACAUAUCGGCUU
This is a non-coding RNA of Firmicutes bacterium CAG:176_63_11, 111 nucleotides long. Lineage: Bacteria; Bacillati; Bacillota. The record is from Rfam.